UCUCCAUCUAUUAAAGUUCCACAUUGUGUGGUGACAUGGUCCUUGGGCAAUAUAUAUGUGUAUGGGCAAUCCUCCACUCUUGAGCUAGCUUUAUGGCGUGAGUCAGGCUCAUCACUAUUCUCCUUCACUCUCAUAUCUCAUCUCUCAUUUCUCCCAUUUAUGUGACUCUGUCCCACCGCGUCUCCUCCUAGUCUCACCACCACCGCGUCUCCUCUUCUCACCACCACCGCGUCUCCUCCUCUUCUCAUUACCACCGCGGUCGCCUUCCCACCCCCACCACGGUGGUCGUGAGCAGAGAUGCUGGUCUGUGGUCGUGCGCAGCCGAGAGCAGUGUCGCCGGAAGUGGACCCAUCAGAGACUCCACCGGUGAGGAUCAGAAGAAUAAAAAUCGGUGCUUCUUUUGUUCUUAGUAGAUACAGGGGGUGAAGGAAGAUGAAGAA
Long non-coding RNA from Brassica oleracea var. oleracea, 440 nucleotides. RefSeq lists it as uncharacterized. The record is from RefSeq and is a predicted model, not a curated record. The transcript is spliced from 2 exons. NCBI's taxonomy places the organism in Eukaryota, Viridiplantae, Streptophyta, Magnoliopsida, Brassicales, Brassicaceae.